AUCUGAGAACAUAUUUAAACACCAAAUUAAAUUCAGUACUAUGACGAAUAAAAUCAGUUUAUGUUAAACAAGGCAAAAGACGUUUCCAUCAUGCAAAUGGAAACAUGACUCACAUCUUGUCCUUGUAUGUUGAGUUGUGUAAAAUAAUAUAGUUUACAGCUCAGUAAAGACUUUAUAAAAUGAAAUAAAAUAUAUACAAAACCUUUAUUUCACUGCAAAAGUGUAAUGUCCAAAAAUGCAUAAACAUUUGGAUCUUUCAAUUAAUCAGUAUAUCUAGUUACAAAGUUAGUCACAAAUCUGAUCCAAAUGAUUUGUUCACAAGACAGAUGUGGUUCUCUGAGUAAGUUCAACUCACUGACUCACUGACUCAGUCACAUAGGUUAACAGCUCACUGGAGGGACCAAGUGAAUAAUAACUUUCAGUCUAACUAUUGUAUGGUUUCACAAUACUUAGAAUUCAGCACACGAGUACCACUUUUAUUUACUGGUUGAACUCUUUCUUUAAAGGUGUGGUAAUGAUGUGAACAUAACAAGCAACAAAAAAGUGACUGAAAUCACGACAGCAUCAUCUCCUCUCAGGGUUAUUGCAAAAUACAUAUGCUCCGUAGGCAGCAAGCCAGCACAAUCUUUAUAACCAGGGCUGCUCGUGAAAGGCAGUUUUUCUCAAGUUCAACAAGUUCAGUUUUUUUGUAUACUGGCAAAAGGAAGAAUUACUCCCAGGCAUCAUCCAGACCAGUAAAAGUGGAAAGUGUCAGAGGCAUGAGAUCAUGCCAAUAUCCUCAUCCAACUGAAGGAAAUGUGGGUAAUCUCGGCUGAUGUGAGCUCCCAAAUCACACAACAAAGACUGUUUGAGAGCGGCGGGUCACGUGGCUCAUGAGUCUUACUAAUGUAAAGCCUGUCAUUCUGGGGAGUACAGCUGAGGAAAGCAUAAAUCAACAGUAUGUCAGUCAAAGAUUUCCCACCAUGGAGAUGUUCCAGAGGAAGAGCUUCUGCAGCAGAUGCCCUGAAGUCUGUCAAGCCUUGAAGACGGCGCUUUAGAAUUCAGCUCACAGAACGUGUCAGACUGCAGCGCCACACAUUCUGUGCUGAUUCUCUUGGAUCUGGUCCACGUGUCUCCUCUGCUCUGGUGAUUCGUCUUAGAGAAAGGGCCAUAAGGCAGGGCUUUAAAAGGUCUGUUCUGAUAGCAGGAACCUGCUCAACUCUGACCGCUUCAGAGGGAGGCUUGAUCCGCCGUGACGUGCUGCUUCUUUCCACGCUGCAAUUCACCAUUGGAUGCAUUUGAUGCCAUUGAUGGCUGGGUAUUUUUCCAUGAGAAGAACACAUACACAAACAAACACAAACACAUAAACCAUCCAGUGGUUUCAGAAACGUGCAGAUUAAUGCGACACAGACCAUGCCGCUAUCCAAGAAAUUAAUGAGGUCUACAAAAUGAAGUUCAUACGAGAAACAUCAUGCCAUGUUUUGAUUACUCCUCCACUCCAUUCAUCAUCUGAAAUGAUGAAUGUAUUUAUGGAUACUCAUGAUACAGCUAACAUAAUUAAUCCAGACAGGAAAUAAUAUCAGUAUUUCAUCCCACUUCAGCUCUUAUAGUCUUGUGGCAAUGUAUAACUGUCUCAUGAUGUACAACGCACCAAGUGGCCCUUCACAUUCUUUCAUUUGGAAGAAUGGGAGUGGUGUAGAUCAUUCUUAAAAAGCCUAGUCGACUAACAAUGUCUUCCGUCACUUUGUGAUACAGUAAAUCACACCUGUUAGCUCAGUGUCUGUUCCGUUUGCAUUCUAAACUCAAGUCAACAAAUCCUCCCUCACCCGUAAUGAUGUUCAACACUUUCUCAGUGAUACUGCUCAAGGGCAGAGCUGGAGGACAAAACAAACACAUGACCACCUACGGUAGCUGCAAAGAAUAUUCAUUUACGUUUGUUUCAGGUAGAUGUUAAUUUGUUGGAUUUUUUUACAAAUUAAAGGAAAUGGAAAAUUACCACUUUGUGUCUCUACUCUUUAUCAGGAGUUGACCAAAA
This is a long non-coding RNA of Cyprinus carpio (common carp), 2014 nucleotides long. RefSeq lists it as uncharacterized. The record is from RefSeq and is a predicted model, not a curated record. NCBI's taxonomy places the organism in Eukaryota, Metazoa, Chordata, Actinopteri, Cypriniformes, Cyprinidae.